GCAGCGAUGCCGCGUGAGUGAAGAAGGCCUUUGGGUUGUAAAGCUCUUUCGUCGGGGAAGAAAAUGACUGUACCCGAAUAAGAAGGUCCGGCUAACUUCGUGCCAGCAGCCGCGGUAAUACGAAGGGACCUAGCGUAGUUCGGAAUUACUGGGCUUAAAGAGUUCGUAGGUGGUUGAAAAAGUUAGUGGUGAAAUCCCAGAGCUUAACUCUGGAACUGCCAUUAAAACUUUUCAGCUAGAGUAUGAUAGAGGAAAGCAGAAUUUCUAGUGUAGAGGUGAAAUUCGUAGAUAUUAGAAAGAAUACCAAUUGCGAAGGCAGCUUUCUGGAUCAUUACUGACACUGAGGAACGAAAGCAUGGGUAGCGAAGAGGAUUAGAUACCCUCGUAGUCCAUGCCGUAAACGAUGUGUGUUAGACGUUGGAAAUUUAUUUUCAGUGUCGCAGGGAAACCGAUAAACACACCGCCUGGGGAGUACGACCGCAAGGUUAAAACUCAAAUGAAUUGACGGGGACCCGCACAAGUAGUGGAGCAUGUGGUUUAAUUCGAAGAUACGCGCAGAACCUUACCAACACUUGACAUGUUCGUCGCGACUCUAAGAGAUUAGAGUUUUCGGUUCGGCCGGACGAAACACAGGUGCUGCAUGGCUGUCGUCAGCUCGUGUCGUGAGAUGUUGGGUUAAGUCCCGCAACGAGCGCAACCCUC
This 702-nucleotide ribosomal RNA is filed under the name uncultured Pseudomonadota bacterium. RNAcentral's name for it is "bacterial SSU rRNA". It matches the Rfam family "Bacterial small subunit ribosomal RNA", at positions 388 to 1106 of the family's 1533-position model. Lineage: Bacteria; Pseudomonadati; Pseudomonadota. The record is from RNAcentral.